This 253-nucleotide ribosomal RNA is filed under the name uncultured bacterium. RNAcentral's name for it is "partial 16S ribosomal RNA". It matches the Rfam family "Bacterial small subunit ribosomal RNA", at positions 524 to 776 of the family's 1533-position model. The record is from RNAcentral.
UACGGAGGGUGCAAACGUUAAUCGGAAUUACUGGGCGUAAAGCGCGCGUAGGUGGUUUAUUAAGUGGGAUGUGAAAGCCCCGGGCUCAACCUGGGAAUUGCAUUCCAAACUGAUGAACUAGAGUACGAUAGAGGGGGGUAGAAUUCAGAGUGUAGCGGUGAAAUGCGUAGAUAUUCUGAGGAAUACCAGUGGCGAAGGCGGCCCCCUGGAUUGAUACUGACACUGAGGUGCGAAAGCGUGGGGAGCAAACAGG